UCCUACGGGGGGCAGCAGUGGGGGAUAUUGCACAAUGGGGGGAACCCUGAUGCAGCGACGCCGCGUGGGUGAAGAAGCGCCUCGGCGCGUAAAGCCCUGUCAGCAGGGAAGAUAAUGACGGUACCUGAAGAAGAAGCCCCGGCUAACUACGUGCCAGCAGCCGCGGUAAUACGUAGGGGGCAAGCGUUAUCCGGAUUUACUGGGUGUAAAGGGGGCGCAGACGGCGAUGCAAGCCAGGAGUGAAAGCCCGGGGCCCAACCCCGGGACUGCUCUUGGAACUGCGUGGCUGGAGUGCAGGAGGGGCG
RNAcentral lists this ribosomal RNA (305 nucleotides) under uncultured bacterium. RNAcentral describes it as "partial 16S ribosomal RNA". It matches the Rfam family "Bacterial small subunit ribosomal RNA", at positions 337 to 659 of the family's 1533-position model. The record is from RNAcentral.